This 248-nucleotide ribosomal RNA is filed under the name uncultured Gardnerella sp. Its description in RNAcentral is "partial 16S ribosomal RNA". It matches the Rfam family "Bacterial small subunit ribosomal RNA", at positions 108 to 356 of the family's 1533-position model. The record is from RNAcentral. Lineage: Bacteria; Bacillati; Actinomycetota; Actinomycetes; Bifidobacteriales; Bifidobacteriaceae.
GAGUAAUGCGUGACCAACCUGCCCCAUGCUCCAGAAUAGCUCUUGGAAACGGGUGGUAAUGCUGGAUGCUCCAACUUGACGCAUGUCUUGUUGGGAAAGUGUUUAGUGGCAUGGGAUGGGGUCGCGUCCUAUCAGCUUGUAGGCGGGGUAAUGGCCCACCUAGGCUUCGACGGGUAGCCGGCCUGAGAGGGCGGACGGCCACAUUGGGACUGAGAUACGGCCCAGACUCCCUACGGGAGGCAGCAGCG